UACACUCCUACGGGAGGCAGCAGUGGGGAAUAUUGGACAAUGGGCGCAAGCCUGAUCCAGCCAUGCCGCGUGAGUGAUGAAGGCCCUAGGGUUGUAAAGCUCUUUUGUGCGGGAAGAUAAUGACGGUACCGCAAGAAUAAGCCCCGGCUAACUUCGUGCCAGCAGCCGCGGUAAUACGAAGGGGGCUAGCGUUGCUCGGAAUCACUGGGCGUAAAGGGUGCGUAGGCGGGUCUUUAAGUCAGGGGUGAAAUCCUGGAGCUCAACUCCAGAACUGCCUUUGAUACUGAAGAUCUUGAGUUCGGGAGAGGUGAGUGGAACUGCGAGUGUAGAGGUGAAAUUCGUAGAUAUUCGCAAGAACACCAGUGGCGAAGGCGGCUCACUGGCCCGAUACUGACGCUGAGGCACGAAAGCGUGGGGAGCAAACAGGAUUAGAUACCCGAGUAGUCCCAUGA
RNAcentral lists this ribosomal RNA (452 nucleotides) under uncultured organism. RNAcentral describes it as "partial 16S ribosomal RNA". It matches the Rfam family "Bacterial small subunit ribosomal RNA", at positions 332 to 800 of the family's 1533-position model. The record is from RNAcentral.